CCCAGCUCCUCGCUGGGUAGCGCAGGCUCGGCAGGUGCCGGUUGUGGAAUGGAUCCUUCUGCAGUGGUACUGUUAUCCGUUUUCAAAACUGGCUACAAUGGCAAAGAGAAGUGCUUCAGAAUUACCGUUUAAUUAUCCCCUCAGCAUAGCUGAGGAACAGGAAUUCUAACUAAUUUAGACAACAGAAGACAACAUCUAUUUUUGUAAAACCUAUAAUAUUCACAAGUAUUUGAUCCAGAAGGAACUAAGUCCUGAUGAGGGCAAAAGUAUUUCAUCACACAUUUCAAAAGAAGUCUUCAUUUCUUUAUUUGCAUUUUAAUACACAUAACCUUUAAAUGCUGGCUUAUAAUUAAAAUUUCAAACUUGGCGCAUACUACAUUCUUCACACACUUCGCUUUGUUACCCAACUUUACUGUAUUACAAUCUGUAAGCUUGUUGAAAACUGUGAAACACAGAGAGGAACGAAGCACAACAGAUAAACACACAUACUGAGUUAAAGUUAAAUUCUUCACAAUUAGGAAAAGCAUGAGGAUUCAUAAAUUGGAGAUGAAACUGGAGUACUGAUUAGAUGAUGAUGUAUAAUGCGAUAGGCACAAGUUUCUGCUGUAUUUUUGUAAGCUAUAAUGGAACUAAAGAGGAGAGAUCAACGCUGGGAUAACUAUUCAGUUGGAGAAUAACACUGGAGCAUGAGAGUGAGCUUCACUGAAAAACAGGUAGGAAGCCAGAACUAGGAUUGGCCCUCUGAGCCAGUUCACAGGUGUACACCAUUAAAGCUUGCCCUUUACUCCUGAUUCAUCCGGGAGCUGUGAGUGAGUCAGGCACCUGAACCAUUCAUCCAGGAAUAUAUACAAUGAAGCUGGGUAUGUUUGAACUAAACAGCAGCAUGUCGGGGUGAACUUCCCCCUAUGUGCUUUUUCCUGAAUGACAGUGAUUCCAAGUCCUCGGAGGGAAGUCGUGCCCGGCUCUGCCUUCCUAGAGUUGGAGCGAUUCCCAGAGGGGAGGCUGUCUGGCCAUAUCGUGAUAUGGAUCACACCCCUCUAAGGCUCGUGUGUUCGCAAGUAGGGUUUUGGAAGAUGACCGUACCGUGAGCCCCUAACUCCGGUGGUGGAUUAAUCUGCUGUGCUGUUUCAGGCUCCUGGAAGAUGACAGGACUUUAGUCAGAAGACACCCUCUCAACAGUGGGUCUACAGGAGGCGCAUCCUGCCUGUCCGCUAAGCCAGCUUCCUCACAGCCAGCCCCUGUCACCGGUCGGGUGAUGCAGCAUU
Long non-coding RNA from Chinchilla lanigera (long-tailed chinchilla), 1265 nucleotides. RefSeq lists it as uncharacterized. The record is from RefSeq and is a predicted model, not a curated record. The transcript has 6 exons. Lineage: Eukaryota; Metazoa; Chordata; Mammalia; Rodentia; Chinchillidae.